CAUAGAUCUAGACUGGUUCCCGCGGGUGUCAAACAGCAGUCCUCCGCCGCUCAACCUGAAGGAUCUGGUGCUGGGGAAGUCGCGAAGGUUCUGGAACACCCCGAUGGGCUCCGGUAACAAGGCCGGGCAGCCGAUGGCGCUCAACCUGCAGACGAACGCCGGCAGACUGCCGCUGGGAGACCUGAUGAAGUCAAAAGGACCCAUGGGCCCGCUGACGUGGCUGACUGGUGGCAGUUCCAGGCCGAUGCCCGUGGGAAAGCUAUUAAAGGGAUUCAAAUGAGACAACCCGACCGACGGAAAGUGCAACCAAGCAGCCCACCAACCACAGAUUGCCUUGCAUCGCCGAAGACUCUACAUGGCGCAGAUGUAACGUUUCACCUGACUGGAGGACUUUAUUGCCGCAGAUAGCCUAUCCAACUGACACAGUUAUUUGACACGAA
Molecule: long non-coding RNA, 440 nt
Organism: Branchiostoma belcheri (Belcher's lancelet)
Lineage: Eukaryota; Metazoa; Chordata; Leptocardii; Amphioxiformes; Branchiostomatidae
Exons: 4
Source: RefSeq, a predicted model, not a curated record